GACGAACGCUGGCGGCGUGCUUAACACAUGCAAGUCGAACGGAAAGGCCCUGCUUUUGUGGGGUGCUCGAGUGGCGAACGGGUGAGUAACACGUGAGUAACCUGCCCUUGACUUUGGGAUAACUUCAGGAAACUGGGGCUAAUACCGGAUAGGAGCUCCUGCUGCAUGGUGGGGGUUGGAAAGUUUCGGCGGUUGGGGAUGGACUCGCGGCUUAUCAGCUUGUUGGUGGGGUAGUGGCUUACCAAGGCUUUGACGGGUAGCCGGCCUGAGAGGGUGACCGGCCACAAUGGGACCGAGAAACGGGCCAGAAUCCUAAGGGAGGGAGGAGGUGGGAAUAUUGCACAAUGGGCGGAAGCCUGAUGCAGCAACGCCGCGUGCGGGAUGACGGCCUUCGGGUUGUAAACCGCUUUCGCCUGUGACGAAGCGUGAGUGACGGUAAUGGGUAAAGAAGCACCGGCUAACUACGUG
This 468-nucleotide ribosomal RNA is filed under the name uncultured bacterium. Its description in RNAcentral is "partial 16S ribosomal RNA". It matches the Rfam family "Bacterial small subunit ribosomal RNA", at positions 28 to 507 of the family's 1533-position model. The record is from RNAcentral.